GUGUUUCUUCUUUUUCCGGAAUUAUAUAUAUAUAGUAAUGUGUUCUAUAAGAAAUAAAUAAGAUACUUUUAAUUAUCUUUCAGACAGAAAAUAAAAAUAAAAAUGACCUAAUGCUUUCUUUCUCUGUUUCCAUUUCGGCUUUUGCAUCAUAUUGUUGCCGAGAAAAUAAGGAAAUGAUGUGAAUCGAAAUCUCACAAAUAUGAUGUGUGGAUGGUUGGGCCAACAAGCAUCAGGUAUCGUUUAAGGUAAAGAAUUUACAUAAUAUAUAAGGUACAUCUAAUUACACUGAUGAAUCCUAUAACGAAAAACUUCCGCCAACACAGCAUACAGCAUGUCAUGAAUCCCAUAAGUAAGGCUAAUCACUCGCACUGAGCAAGAAAAAAUGAUAACGCAAGUUGCAUAGAAUCAUAGAAUACAGUAGCCCGUGAACAAAUUCGUCAUUUGCACAAAAUACAGUGAAAAGAAACAUCCUGAAUAUGAAACUGGCAAAUGCAGACUCGAUGUCGCUGCCUCAACUCAUAACUCAAGCAAUAGCAUCUCACAAGUUGAGAACACCAUAGAUCCUGUGACCCUAAUAAUGGCUCUCAUGAGACUCACUAGUUCCAUAUUGACAGCAAGUUAAUUACUUAAAACCUGAAGAUACAAAUUGGAAAAGUAGACUAAUGCCCAGAUAUUCAGCAAGAACUUAGAUGCCCGCGCUAGAAAAUGUUGGGCGUAUAACCGUGUAUAAAGUGAAAGUACCCUGUCACUAUCAUCAGGCACUUAAUCAGGAUAACAAAUAGCUAAAG
Molecule: non-coding RNA, 788 nt
Organism: Sesamum indicum (sesame)
Lineage: Eukaryota; Viridiplantae; Streptophyta; Magnoliopsida; Lamiales; Pedaliaceae
Source: RefSeq, a predicted model, not a curated record